This 31-nucleotide non-coding RNA is filed under the name Rattus norvegicus (Norway rat). The record is from RNAcentral. Lineage: Eukaryota; Metazoa; Chordata; Mammalia; Rodentia; Muridae.
GAAGCUAUGAUUACUUUGGUGGCCUCUCCUA